GCUCGGGUGGCGGAAUUGGUAGACGCGCUAGAUUAAGGAUCUAGUGGGGUAAUACCCGUGGGGGUUCGAGUCCCCCCUCGAGCACCA
Molecule: transfer RNA, 87 nt
Filed under: Verrucomicrobiales bacterium
Lineage: Bacteria; Pseudomonadati; Verrucomicrobiota; Verrucomicrobiia; Verrucomicrobiales
Description: tRNA-Leu
Rfam family: tRNA
About the family: Transfer RNA (tRNA) molecules are approximately 80 nucleotides in length. Their secondary structure includes four short double-helical elements and three loops (D, anti-codon, and T loops).
Source: RNAcentral